Molecule: ribosomal RNA, 488 nt
Filed under: uncultured bacterium
Lineage: Bacteria
Description: partial 16S ribosomal RNA
Rfam family: Bacterial small subunit ribosomal RNA
Source: RNAcentral
GAUGAACGCUAGCGGCAGGCUUAACACAUGCAAGUCGAGGGGCAGCAUAAUGGAUAGCAAUAUCUAUGGUGGCGACCGGCGCACGGGUGCGUAACGCGUAUGCAACCUACCUUUAACAGGGGGAUAACACUGAGAAAUUGGUACUAAUACCCCAUAAUAUAAUAGAAGGCAUCUUUUAUGGUUGAAAAUUCUGAUGGUUAGAGAUGGGCAUGCGUUGUAUUAGCUAGUUGGUGGGGUAACGGCUCACCAAGGCGACGAUACAUAGGGGGACUGAGAGGUUAACCCCCCACACUGGUACUGAGACACGGACCAGACUCCUACGGGAGGCAGCAGUGAGGAAUAUUGGUCAAUGGACGCAAGUCUGAACCAGCCAUGCCGCGUGCAGGAUGACGGCUCUAUGAGUUGUAAACUGCUUUUGUACGAGGGUAAACGCAGAUACGUGUAUCUGUCUGAAAGUAUCGUACGAAUAAGGAUCGGCUAACUCCGUG